GGAGGCUGCUACUCAGAGAUUCUUGGAGUAUUCUGAUCUUAACAAAGUCUUGAACAGUGAUAAAGAAUUAGAAUCAAACAACACCGAUGGGAAGGUAAUCAGGAAGUCAUUCUCAACACCUAGUCUGACAGAAGUCGUUGAUGGCGGUCUUGCAUUUGCUCAUUAUUGUCUUACUGGUAACGAACUCCUCCGACUUUGUACCGGAGCCAUCCCAGGGACCCGUGACUACGACGGACAGCACUGUAAGGACUUACAUCUCCUGCCUCCUCAGGUUGAAAAUCCUAUCUAUACAUGGUAAAAACAAAGAAAU
This 310-nucleotide unclassified non-coding RNA is filed under the name Hevea brasiliensis (rubber tree). The record is from RNAcentral. Lineage: Eukaryota; Viridiplantae; Streptophyta; Magnoliopsida; Malpighiales; Euphorbiaceae.